This 970-nucleotide long non-coding RNA is filed under the name Anas zonorhyncha (Eastern spot-billed duck). RNAcentral's name for it is "lncRNA (ENSAZOG00000009793.1)". Lineage: Eukaryota; Metazoa; Chordata; Aves; Anseriformes; Anatidae. The record is from RNAcentral.
AUGCCUGGGGCCACCCCGCUGCCCCCUGUCCCCGCAGGAGAAGGGCUCCACGUUCCUGCAGCUGGGCUCCUCGACGGAGCAGCAGCUCCAGGUGAUCUUCGAGGUGCUGGAGGAGUACGACUGGACGUCCUUCGCCGUCGUCACCACGCUGUUCCCCGGCCACGAGGACUUCGUGGACUACGUGGAGGUGCUGACCGACAGCAGCUUCAUCGGCUGGGAGCACCGCGGGGUCCUCACCCUCAACCUGACCGACGACCCCGAGGGGACGCGGCUGCGGCGCCAGCUCCGCGAGCUCAGCGCCCAGAUCCGGCUCCUCUACUGCUCGCGCGAGGAGGCCGAGGCCGUUUUCCGGGCGGCGCGGGAGGCCGGGCUGGCCGGGCCCGGCUACGUCUGGUUCGUGGUGGGCUCCAACCUGGGGGGCAGCGAGGAGCUGCCCGAGGACGUCCCCGCCGGGCUCUUCGCCGUGCUCUCCGCCGGCUGGCGCGACGACCUCCAGCACCGCGUGCGCAAUGGCGUGGCCAUCGUGGCCAAGGGCGCCGAGGCCCUGCUGCGGGACUACGGCUUCAUCCCCGAGUUCAACAACGACUGCCGGGCGCCCAACGCCACCCAGGGCAACGACGACCUCCACCGGUACUUCACCAACAUCACCUGGGGGCACCGCGACUUCUCCUUCAACGCCGACGGCUUCCUGGUCAACCCCUCGCUCGUGGUCAUCGCGCUCACCAAGGAGCGCAGCUGGGAGGUGGUGGGCAGCUGGGAGCGGCGCGUGCUGCGCAUGAAGUACCCGUCCUGGGGGGGCUCCGGGGGGGGGCUCCCGCGGCCGGUGGCCGAUGGCCGGCACCUGGCGGUGGCCACGCUGGAGGAGCGCCCCUUCGUCAUCGUCGAGGGGGUCGACCCCCACACCGGGACCUGCAUCCGCGACUCCGUGCCCUGCCGCCAGCAGCACAACCGCACCCACGGGUAGGGGGGG